RNAcentral lists this transfer RNA (63 nucleotides) under Listeria monocytogenes. RNAcentral describes it as "tRNA-Arg". It matches the Rfam family "tRNA", at positions 6 to 65 of the family's 71-position model. Rfam says of the family: Transfer RNA (tRNA) molecules are approximately 80 nucleotides in length. The record is from RNAcentral. Lineage: Bacteria; Bacillati; Bacillota; Bacilli; Caryophanales; Listeriaceae. RNAcentral also lists the same sequence under 1 other name.
GAUAGCUCAGCUGGAUAGAGCAACGGCCUUCUAAGCCGUCGGUCGGGGGUUCGAAUCCCUCUC